This 494-nucleotide ribosomal RNA is filed under the name uncultured bacterium. RNAcentral's name for it is "partial 16S ribosomal RNA". It matches the Rfam family "Bacterial small subunit ribosomal RNA", at positions 28 to 507 of the family's 1533-position model. The record is from RNAcentral.
GACGAACGCUGGCGGCGUGCUUAACACAUGCAAGUCGAACGGAAAGGCCUGCUUUCCCUUGUGGUUUGCGGGUACUCGAGUGGCGAACGGGUGAGUAACACGUGAGUUAUCUUCCCCCAACUUGGGUAUAAGCCUGGGAAACUGGGUCUAAUUCCCGGUAGUACUGCAGGGUGGUGCCUGUGGUGGAACACGAUUUUCUAGUGGUUGGGGAUGAGCGGGCGGCCUAUCGGCUUGUUGGUGGGGUACUGGCCUACCAAGGCGGCGACGGGUAGCCGGCCUGAGAGGGGCGACGGCGAAAGUGGGACUGGGAUCCGGCCCAGACGCCUACGGGAGGCAGCAGUGGGGAAUAUUGGACAAUGGGCGGAAGCCUGAUGCAGCGAGGCCGCGGGGGGGAUGACGGGCUUCGGGUGGUAAACUCCUUUCGACCGCGAGGAAGCGACCUGGUUGGAAGGGUGGUGACGGUAGUGGUAGAAGAAGCACCGGCUAACUACGUG